GCGGCUGGAGGGGGAGUCGCUGCCUCACCCGCGCCUGGCGCCCGCGGCUCCCUCCGCCUCGCCGGCGUUGGCCCACCCUCUCGUAGCUCACCCCGCGAGGCUGGACAGCUCCCGGAACCCCGGAACCGGGAUCUAUUUCGGGGGCUCGGCCGCGUGGCGCCCAGGACUCUCCAGGGUCUCCCAGGAUCGCUCCCCGGAUUCGAGUCGCCCCCUCUCUCUUUCGGGAAUACCAGCUGAUGUCAGUCCGCCAGCCAAAACCAGGGAGGAGAAGCGGGAGCCGGCCCUCUGGAGUCGGGAGAAGGUCUGGGGAGUGGGGUAGAGGGGAAAGCAAAGUCCAAAUACCUUCCCUUCAGACACCUCCUGGGGCCUAGACCCCACAAACCUGUUGUGGGGAGGGCAAAAUACGAUGACUACGUUCCCAGGAAGAAGGUGCCACAGCUCUUCAGGACCACGGUUGGGAGAAAGAAGGGAGGGGUUUUAGAACCUUCAGUGUGCGACUUCAUGUGCCAGUCUUCAUCUCAGGAUCUCAAGCUCUUGGAUCAUGGGCACGGAUAACCUGUUGUCCUCCUCUAUGGUCAAGAGGCUGCUUUUGCAAAGAAUCCAGUGGGAGAGAGUCAAUGGCCUGCUUGACGUGAACUCCAAAGUCCUCCUGGCCAAGGGUCAUCCUGCCUGGAGCAGGGCAAGAGGUGACUUGACCCUUAGGAAGAGUGGCAUCUCUAAUCUUCAACUUCCACCACCACCACACACACAAAUGCAGAGCCAUCCAGGAGGAAGUAAAAAGUGCUAGGGCCUUCUACACCUUGAAAUUAUAUGUGGAGCAUCCUGCAAUAAGCAUCUCUAUGAUGCACAGUCAUUCACACCUGCUGGUCUCUCCCCCAGCUGUCUGCAAAAUGAAGAGCAGAGCACAAGAGAACAUGUGAGAAAGAGGCAGGGUCGGGGAAGCCAGAAGUCCUGGCUGGCAGGGGCUGAUCCUUCCUAACUAGAGAGAGGAGACACACUUCUUGAGAGGGCAGGGAGAUAGCAGGGAGAACUAGAGGAGCUAUAGCCAGGGAGCCAGCUAAGGGAGGGAAGACAAAGGAGUGGAGACACAACUACUCCAUCUCUCCCCAGCCUCCUCAUCUCCAGAAUGAUGGCACACCUGGGAGGGGCCUGACUACCUUUCAGGGGGAAAAAUGGUCACUGGGCCUGGUGCGGUGGCUCAUGCCUGUCAUCCCAGCACUUUGGGAGGCCAAGGUGGGUGGAUAACCUGAGGUCAGGAGUUCGAGACCAGCCAGAACAACAUGGUGAAACCCCAUCUCUACUAAAAAUACAAAAAUUUGCUGGGCGUGGUGGUGCCUGCCUGUAAUCCAGCUACUUAGGAGGCUGAGGCAGGAAAAUCGCUUGAACCCGAAAGGCAGAGGUUGCAGUGUGCCGAGAUUAUGCCACUGCACUCCAGCCUGGGCAACAAGAGUGAAACUCUGUCUGAAGGAAAAAAAAAAAAAAGCCAUUGGAGAAGACGGGGUCCUUCCAGAGAAGCUGAUCAAGUCAUAUUACUCAUCAACUGCUGGGGACCUAACAGUCACUACCAUUUAUUGAACACUUACUAUGGGCUGCAUAAUGUGCCUACUGACGCAUGUGCUGAAAGCUUUGCAUGUAUGUCUUAAAGCCACACCACUAUAACAUCAGAAUUAUCUUCUCCAUGUGUGAAAUGGGGAAACAGGAGGAGAAAGUUUACAAUCCCAGAGCUAGUAAUUGGCAGAGCCAGGAUUUAAACCCAGGAUAUCUUGAUGCUAAAGUUCAUGUCUUAACCAUUAUGAUUUAUCACCUCCUCUCACUGCAGAUCAGAAUACCAAUUUCUUACUGGGUCUGGAAAGGAGGAGAGAAGGAUAGAGAGUUUCUUCUAGGACCAAAUUGAUUCCUCCACAAAUAGGAAGAUCCCCAGACUGUGUGCACACACCCUCCUCCUCCUUCCUUCUCCAACCCUGGCUGGACCAUGACAUCACAUGGUGGAGGCUGUUUUUUAAAAAGAACUCAGGCCAGAUUUACAAGAAUGAUGCUCAGGCAGCGUGACUGUCAAGGACCGUGGCCAAGUGACCCAUAGCACACACCCAGCAGUGCUGAGAACAUAGCUAGUCCCUUAGCACCUGGGGCUGACUCAUGGUUGCUGUAGGACCCAAUGCCAGAUGCCAGGAUUGCUUUCUCCCUCCAUUCAUUAGGACUGUCCCAUGAAACCCUCCCCAGGAACCCUUCUACCCCAUCCCGGCAUGCCAGGAGCCUGGAUACUGCAUAACACAGGGUACUCAUAUUUGUUUACCAAGCCUUGAAGAUGACAGGCAAUAUGCUGAUAUGCUCAAUGCAUCAUACAAAUUGUUUUAUUUAAAACUGAACUAUUAAAUUAAGUAUCAUAGCAACUCACUUUACAGACAAGGAAACUGAAGCUCAAAGGUUAAGUAAGGGCCAGGCAUGGUGGCUCACUCCUGUAAUCCCAGCAGUUUGGGAGGCUGAGGUGGGAGGAGGAUUGCUUAAGCCCGGGAGUUUGAGACCAGCCUAGGCAAUAUAGGGAGACCCCAUCUCUACAAAAAAUUAUCUGGGCCUGGUUGUGUAUGCCUGUAGUCCCAGCUACUUGAGAGGCUGAGGUGGGAGGAUUGCUUGAGCCCAGAAGUUGAGGCUGCAGUGAGCCAUGAUCAUGCCAUUGUACUCCAGCCUGGGCAGCAAAGCAAAACCCUGUAUUGAAAACAAACAAACAGGCCGGGCACGGUGGCUCACACCUGUAAUCCCAACACUUUGGGAGGCCGAGGCAGGUGGAUCACCUGAGGUCAGGAGUUAGAGACCAGCCUGGCCAACAUGGUGAAACCCGCCUCUACUGAAAAUACAAAAAUUAGCAGGGCGUUGUGGCACAUGCCAAGGUGGGCAGAUCACCUGAGGUCAGGAGUUAGAGACCAGCCUGGCCAACAUGGUGAAACCCCAUCUCUACUAAAAAUACAAAAAUUAGCUGGGCGUGGUGGUGGGCGCCUGUAGUCCCAGCUACUCAGGAGGCUGAGGCAGGAGAAUCGCUUGAACCUGGGAGGUGGAGGUUGCAGUAAGCCAAGAUAGUGUCACUGCACUCCAGCCUGGGCGACAGACAAAAAAAAAAAAAAAAAAAAAAAA
This 3126-nucleotide long non-coding RNA is filed under the name Pan troglodytes (chimpanzee). RNAcentral describes it as "lincRNA". Lineage: Eukaryota; Metazoa; Chordata; Mammalia; Primates; Hominidae. The record is from RNAcentral.